RNAcentral lists this ribosomal RNA (520 nucleotides) under uncultured bacterium. RNAcentral's name for it is "bacterial SSU rRNA". It matches the Rfam family "Bacterial small subunit ribosomal RNA", at positions 8 to 525 of the family's 1533-position model. The record is from RNAcentral.
AGAGUUUGAUCAUGGCUCAGAUUGAACGCUGGCGGCAUGCUUUACACAUGCAAGUCGAACGGUAACAGGUCUUCGGAUGCUGACGAGUGGCGAACGGGUGAGUAAUGUAUCGGAACGUGCCCAGUAGUGGGGGAUAACUACUCGAAAGAGUGGCUAAUACCGCAUGAGAACUGAGGUUGAAAGCGGGGGACCUUCGGGCCUCGCGCUACUGGAGCGGCCGAUAUCAGAUUAGGUAGUUGGUGGGGUAAAGGCCUACCAAGCCGACGAUCUGUAGCUGGUCUGAGAGGACGACCAGCCACACUGGGACUGAGACACGGCCCAGACUCCUACGGGAGGCAGCAGUGGGGAAUUUUGGACAAUGGACGCAAGUCUGAUCCAGCAAUGCCGCGUGCAGGACGAAGGCCUUCGGGUUGUAAACUGCUUUUGUACAGAACGAAAAGGCUCUGGUUAAUACCUGGGGCUCAUGACGGUACUGUAAGAAUAAGCACCGGCUAACUACGUGCCAGCAGCCGCGGUAAUA